GUCACACUGGAWCUGAGACACGGKCCAGAMUCCUACGGGAGGCAGCAGUGGGGAAUAUUGGMCAAUGGGMGAAAGCCUGAUCCAGCCAUGCCGCGUGUGUGAAGAAGGUCUUCGGAUUGUAAAGCACUUUAAGUUGGSAGGAAGGGUACUUACCUAAUACGUGAGUAUUUUGACGUUACCGACAGAAUAAGCRCCGGCUUAACUCUGUGCCAGCAGCCGCGGUAAUACANAGSGUGCAAGCGUUAAUCGGAAUUACUGGGCGUAAAGCGCGCGUAGGUGGUUUGUURAGUUGGAUGUGAAAGCCCCGGGCUCWACCUGGKARCWGCAUCCAAAACUGGCAAGCUAGAGUAUGGUAGAGGGUGGUGGAAUCUCCUGUGUAGCGGUGAAAUGCGUAGAUAU
This 399-nucleotide ribosomal RNA is filed under the name Pseudomonas sp. Z94. RNAcentral's name for it is "partial 16S rRNA". It matches the Rfam family "Bacterial small subunit ribosomal RNA", at positions 307 to 697 of the family's 1533-position model. Lineage: Bacteria; Pseudomonadati; Pseudomonadota; Gammaproteobacteria; Pseudomonadales; Pseudomonadaceae. The record is from RNAcentral.